Long non-coding RNA from Misgurnus anguillicaudatus (oriental weatherfish), 787 nucleotides. RefSeq lists it as uncharacterized. NCBI's taxonomy places the organism in Eukaryota, Metazoa, Chordata, Actinopteri, Cypriniformes, Cobitidae. The record is from RefSeq and is a predicted model, not a curated record.
UGCAACAACCAGACAUUUUGAUGCUGGGAAACCGUUUUAAUAAGCUUUCUGAGUUGCUAAUACAUUGAACCAAUGGGGAAUAAAACCACUUCUGUUGCCAAAAUGCGCGCGCAGGCUAUUUGAUCACGUGGACUGUAAAAGGGUCUAUAGGAGUAAAGUGAACUGUUAACAGCUGGCGGAGUGAGUUCAUCGAUCAAUCAGCCCAAAGAUGGUAGCCUACCAGAAGGGCUGUAAAAUUAAUUGGCCUGGCAAAUACACCCGUCUAUCACUAAAGACAUCACUUUUUCUAUAAAAAGGAACAUCACAACCCACUUGACAGGUGUACCAUAGAAGGGGUGCAGAGUCUGCGUCCGCCACUCUGUCGUGCCAGUCAAACAUGAUGGACAUUGUGGACAUAAUGCUUGCGCGGCGGAAACCAUGGAAACUGAGAAAGUCACUGCUGAGGUGUUCAGAUUAGGAAGGUCUCACACAGAGAACUACAUAGUCGAGAGUGUGUUCAUAAACAAAAAGCUUACCUGCAUGUGUAAAGAUAAAAAAAGAAGAGAGAAGAAAGCAGGCUUGCCCAGAAUCAGGGGAAAAAUUAUGUGUCACGUGAUUGUGUCAUGUGCAAAUUUAAUAAUGUGGUUCGUGGCUAUUCAAAUGGAUAUGCUUGAAAUGGUCACUGUGAUUUUUUCAUUUUGAAUAAUGUGGAGAGACUGUGAUAUUGCCAUUUCAUGGGUGCCACUUCAAUUGGUAAAAUAAGUCUUGAUUCAUGUGCAUUUGAAAAAAAAAUUACUGAGUUGUCUGU